Molecule: transfer RNA, 73 nt
Filed under: Gloeobacter kilaueensis JS1
Lineage: Bacteria; Bacillati; Cyanobacteriota; Cyanophyceae; Gloeobacterales; Gloeobacteraceae
Description: tRNA-Glu (CTC) (tRNA-Glu-CTC-1-1)
Rfam family: tRNA
About the family: Transfer RNA (tRNA) molecules are approximately 80 nucleotides in length.
Source: Rfam by way of RNAcentral
GCCCUCAUCGUCUAGAGGCCCAGGACACCGCCCUCUCACGGCGGCGACGCCGGUUCGAAUCCGGCUGGGGGUA